RNAcentral lists this ribosomal RNA (253 nucleotides) under uncultured bacterium. Its description in RNAcentral is "partial 16S ribosomal RNA". It matches the Rfam family "Bacterial small subunit ribosomal RNA", at positions 524 to 776 of the family's 1533-position model. The record is from RNAcentral.
UACGGAGAGUGCAAACGUUGUCCGGAUUUACUGGGCGUAAAGGGCGUGCAGGCGGUCUGUUAAGUGCAGGGUGAAAGCUCCCGGCUCAACUGGGAGAGGUCCUUGCAUACUGGCGGACUUGAGGGGGGUAGAGGAAAGUGGAAUUCCCGGUGUAGUGGUGAUAUGCGUAGAUAUCGGGAGGAACACCUGUGGCGAAGGCGGCUUUCUGGGCCCUACCUGACGCUGAGACGCGAAAGCGUGGGGAGCGAACCGG